UUGCUGUCAUUCUACAAACAUGGCAGUUGCUUCACAAUACAGGCUGGAUUUUAAAUCUUGGCAGUGCUAGUUACUGAUUACAGCUGAAAUUCAUUAGUAAGGGUCAUCUCCAAAUUCCAAAUUUUCAAAACACUGUACUUGUAAAUACACUUAAUGGUAGUUGUCAAUACCUGAAGUUCACAGUGUUCUUUAAAGAAAAAUGUUAUCCAUUGCAUUUGUUAGUAACCUUUCAAUAAACAGAGUAUGAAUAUAGUUAUGUAGGUAUUUGGAGUCCUAUUGAUUUAUGUAUAAUCAAAGUAAAGUAUUUUACUUCUUUUCACAGAGAAUGAAGUACUCUGGGAUUCACAGGAAAGAGCCAGUAAGGAUCAAAAUGAUGUGUCAUUCCCUUAAAAAGGAAGAAAAAAAAACUGUGAAAAAAACAGGCCACAAGAAUCAAGAUAGAAAAGCUGUUUUCCACAGAAUUCUACUGAGCAGUAUCACCUCAUCUUCAGGGUCUUCAGAAGACUGGAAAGCUUUCCUUGAGCAGAGCGUGUUGUGGAGGUGAAUGGAGGAGCACAGACAAAUCACAUGUUCUUCUGUUGGACAGGUCAGACCUACCAGGUCUGAAGAUGCAAGAACCAAGGCAUAGCUUAGAGUAGCCCUAAAGCUUCUUUAAGUUGUGCUUGGGAAACAGUUGUCUUUACGUGGCUUUUGGGGUGGAAAGAACAUAAGCAUGUUUAGUUCAUACCAUCUCUUCUGUAAUUACCUGAGGCAUGCUAUUGUCACACACAAUCAAUCAUCUGACUUCUUAAGUAUCAUUCUUACUUUAAUAAAAUUUCAAAAUAUAACCCUCA
This is a non-coding RNA of Lonchura striata (white-rumped munia), 833 nucleotides long. The record is from RefSeq and is a predicted model, not a curated record. NCBI's taxonomy places the organism in Eukaryota, Metazoa, Chordata, Aves, Passeriformes, Estrildidae.